This is a ribosomal RNA of 507 nucleotides. It matches the Rfam family "Bacterial small subunit ribosomal RNA", at positions 75 to 597 of the family's 1533-position model.
GCCCAUUCGGGGUGGAUUAGUGGCGAACGGGUGAGUAACACGUGGGCAAUCUGCCCUUCACUCUGGGACAAGCCCUGGAAACGGGGUCUAAUACCGGAUAACACCUCCACUCUCCUGGGUGGAGGUUAAAAGCUCCGGCGGUGAAGGAUGAGCCCGCGGCCUAUCAGCUUGUUGGUGAGGUAAUGGCUCACCAAGGCGACGACGGGUAGCCGGCCUGAGAGGGCGACCGGCCACACUGGGACUGAGACACGGCCCAGACUCCUACGGGAGGCAGCAGUGGGGAAUAUUGCACAAUGGGCGAAAGCCUGAUGCAGCGACGCCGCGUGAGGGAUGACGGCCUUCGGGUUGUAAACCUCUUUCAGCAGGGAAGAAGCGAAAGUGACGGUACCUGCAGAAGAAGCGCCGGCUAACUACGUGCCAGCAGCCGCGGUAAUACGUAGGGCGCAAGCGUUGUCCGGAAUUAUUGGGCGUAAAGAGCUCGUAGGCGGUCUGUCACGUCGGAUGUGA